Molecule: microRNA, 21 nt
Filed under: Medicago truncatula (barrel medic)
Lineage: Eukaryota; Viridiplantae; Streptophyta; Magnoliopsida; Fabales; Fabaceae
Source: RNAcentral
UGAGCCAGGAUGACUUGCCGG